This 393-nucleotide ribosomal RNA is filed under the name uncultured bacterium. Its description in RNAcentral is "partial 16S ribosomal RNA". It matches the Rfam family "Bacterial small subunit ribosomal RNA", at positions 523 to 918 of the family's 1533-position model. The record is from RNAcentral.
AUACGGAGGAUGCAAGCGUUAUCCGGAUUUAUUGGGUUUAAAGGGUGCGUAGGCUGUGCGUUAAGUCAGGGGUGAAAUGCCGUCGCUCAACGACGGAGCUGCCCUUGAUACUGGCGUGCUGGAGUACGGAUGCCGUUGGAGGAAUGAGUGGUGUAGCGGUGAAAUGCUUAGAUAUCACUCAGAACACCGAUUGCGAAGGCAUCUGACGAAUCCGUCACUGACGCUGAGGCACGAAAGCGUGGGGAUAGAACAGGAUUAGAUACCCUGGUAUUCCACGCCGUAAACGAUGAUGACUAACCGUCGGCGAUAGACAGCCGGUGGCCAAGCGAAAGCGAUAAGUCAUCCACCUGGGGAGUACGUCGGCAACGAUGAAACUCAAAUGAAUUGACGGGG